Molecule: ribosomal RNA, 1070 nt
Filed under: Afrosternophorus sp. JM-2008
Lineage: Eukaryota; Metazoa; Arthropoda; Arachnida; Pseudoscorpiones; Sternophoridae
Description: eukaryotic LSU rRNA
Rfam family: Eukaryotic large subunit ribosomal RNA
Source: RNAcentral
AGUAACGGCGAGCGAACGGGGAAGAGCUCAUAGCCGAACCCGAUGCUCCUUGCGGGCAUUGGGAAUGUGGCAUGUGGGAGGCGGCAUUUUCCGAGCUUGGCUUGUGGCGCAAGUCCCCAUGAGAGGGGCUGUCUACCCAGAGCGGGUGCUAGGCCCGUACCGCCUCGAGCCUUGCGCGGAGUCGCCGUUCUCCCGGGAGUCGGGUUGCUUGGGAGUGCAGCUCAAAAUGGGUGGUAAACUCCACCUAAAGCUAAAUAGUACCGAGAGGCCGAUAGCAAACAAGUACCAUGAGGGAAAGUUGAAAAGCACUUUGAAGAGAGAGUUCAAGAGUACGUGAAACCGUUCAGAGGUAAACGGGUGGGGCCUCGAAGUCCCGAGGCGGUGGUGGAUUCAGCUGCAUUCCCUUUGCAUCAUGCAAUGUGACUGCUUCCUAGGGGAGGUUGCAAAGCAUACGAUGUCAUAGGGAAACGGCGCAUUUCCACGCCCCGCACAGGAGGACGUCGCAAGCGGUUUGCCUGCCGUCGAAAGGGAGGACACGAAAGGUAACCUCCGAUUAAAUUUUAGUCGGCGGUGUUACAGCCGGUCCAAUCCCCGACUGACAGGUAGACCGAGGAUUUUUUGGAGUUCCCUUGUAAAAGCCAUGGCCCUGUGUGGCGAAGACCACCAUUGGUGCCACCUUAAUGGUGAACCGAUUGAUGGGAUUUGUUAUCGCUGGGUUUAAUAUGGCGGGGAUCCCAAGCUUGGCGGCGAGUAGGUCGGUCACCCACCCGACCCGUCUUGAAACACGGACCAAGGAGUCUAAGGCGCACGCGAGUUUCCGGGACUUGAACAUGCCCGAGGGCGCAAUGAAAGUAAAGGGUGGUCUUACCAUCUGAGUUGGGAUCCGGCAUUUUUAAAAUGCCGGCGCACCAACGGCCCGUCCGUGCCGAUUUCGGCUGGGCGGAGCUAGAGCGCGUGCCUUGGGACCCGAAAGAUGGUGAACUAUGCUUGGGCAGGACGAGGCCAGAGGAAACUCUGGUGGAGGUCCGCAGCGAUUCUGACGUGCAAAUCGAUCGUCAGACCUAAGUAUA